GAGUUUGAUCAUGGCUCAGAUUGAACGCUGGCGGCAUGCCUUACACAUGCAAGUCGAACGGCAGCAUGAUCUAGCUUGCUAGAUUGAUGGCGAGUGGCGAACGGGUGAGUAAUACAUCGGAACGUGCCCUGUAGUGGGGGAUAACUAGUCGAAAGAUUAGCUAAUACCGCAUACGACCUGAGGGUGAAAGUGGGGGACCGCAAGGCCUCAUGCUAUAGGAGCGGCCGAUGUCUGAUUAGCUAGUUGGUGGGGUAAAGGCCCACCAAGGCGACGAUCAGUAGCUGGUCUGAGAGGACGAUCAGCCACACUGGGACUGAGACACGGCCCAGACUCCUACGGGAGGCAGCAGUGGGGAAUUUUGGACAAUGGGGGCAACCCUGAUCCAGCAAUGCCGCGUGUGUGAAGAAGGCCUUCGGGUUGUAAAGCACUUUUGUCCGGAAAGAAAUCGCACUUACUAAUAUUAGGUGUGGAUGACGGUACCGGAAGAAUAAGGACCGGCUAACUACGUGCCAGCAGCCGCGGUAAUACGUAGGGUCCAAGCGUUAAUCGGAAUUACUGGGCGUAAAGCGUGCGCAGGCGGUUGUGCAAGACCGAUGUGAAAUCCCCGGGCUUAACCUGGGAAUUGCAUUGGUGACUGCACGGCUAGAGUGUGUCAGAGGGGGGUAGAAUUCCACGUGUAGCAGUGAAAUGCGUAGAGAUGUGGAGGAAUACCGAUGGCGAAGGCAGCCCCCUGGGAUAACACUGACGCUCAUGCACGAAAGCGUGGGGAGCAAACAGGAUUAGAUACCCUGGUAGUCCACGCCCUAAACGAUGUCAACUAGUUGUUGGGGAUUCAUUUCCUUAGUAACGUAGCUAACGCGUGAAGUUGACCGCCUGGGGAGUACGGUCGCAAGAUUAAAACUCAAAGGAAUUGACGGGGACCCGCACAAGCGGUGGAUGAUGUGGAUUAAUUCGAUGCAACGCGAAAAACCUUACCUACCCUUGACAUGCCACUAACGAAGCAGAGAUGCAUUAGGUGCUCGAAAGAGAAAGUGGACACAGGUGCUGCAUGGCUGUCGUCAGCUCGUGUCGUGAGAUGUUGGGUUAAGUCCCGCAACGAGCGCAACCCUUGUCUCUAGUUGCUACGAAAGGGCACUCUAGAGAGACUGCCGGUGACAAACCGGAGGAAGGUGGGGAUGACGUCAAGUCCUCAUGGCCCUUAUGGGUAGGGCUUCACACGUCAUACAAUGGUGCAUACAGAGGGUUGCCAAGCCGCGAGGUGGAGCUAAUCCCAGAAAAUGCAUCGUAGUCCGGAUCGUAGUCUGCGACUCGACUACGUGAAGCUGGAAUCGCUAGUAAUCGCGGAUCAGCAUGCCGCGGUGAAUACGU
This 1368-nucleotide ribosomal RNA is filed under the name unidentified marine bacterioplankton. RNAcentral describes it as "bacterial SSU rRNA". It matches the Rfam family "Bacterial small subunit ribosomal RNA", at positions 9 to 1371 of the family's 1533-position model. The record is from RNAcentral.